UGGUGGAGUGAUUUGUCUGGUUAAUUCCGUUAACGAACGAGACCUUAACCUGCUAAAUAUGCCGCGCUAACCCGUCCAUCAAAACCCAUGCGUGGCUCACGCGGUCCGCUGCGGGGUGGUGUCGCUUCGCGGCGACGUCAUCCCGCCGGCAGGGCCCGGGUCCGUGUGGGCGGUAGGGUUCGGCGUCCGUGCUUCUUAGAGGGACUGCUGCGCGCCUAGCCAGCGGAAGUUUGAGGCAAUAACA
RNAcentral lists this ribosomal RNA (244 nucleotides) under uncultured eukaryote. RNAcentral describes it as "partial 18S ribosomal RNA". It matches the Rfam family "Eukaryotic small subunit ribosomal RNA", at positions 1299 to 1458 of the family's 1831-position model. The record is from RNAcentral.